Molecule: ribosomal RNA, 404 nt
Filed under: uncultured bacterium
Lineage: Bacteria
Description: bacterial SSU rRNA
Rfam family: Bacterial small subunit ribosomal RNA
Source: RNAcentral
UGAGGAAUUUUCCACAAUGGGCGAAAGCCUGAUGGAGCAAUACCGCGUGAAGGAUGAAGCAUUUCGGUGUGUAAACUUCUUUUUAAUGGGAAGAUUAUGACGGUACCAUUUGAAUAAGCAUCGGCUAACUACGUGCCAGCAGCCGCGGUAAUACGUAGGAUGCAAGCGUUAUCCGGAAUUAUUGGGCGUAAAGAGUUUGUAGGUGGCAUGUUAAGUUGAAUGUUAAAUCUCAGGGCUCAACUCUGGGGCUGCAUUCAAUACUGGCAAGCUCGAGGUAUGGAGAGGUAAGCGGAAUUAGUAGUGUAGCGGUGAAAUGCGUAGAUAUUACUAAGAACACCAAUGGCGAAGGCAGCUUACUGGCCAUAUCCUGACACUGAGAAACGAAAGCGUGGGGAGCGAACAGG